GAUGAACGCUAGCGGCAGGCCUAACACAUGCAAGUCGAGGGGUAACUAGAGUGAUAGCAAUAUUACUUUGGCUAGACCGGCGCACGGGUGCGUAACACGUAUGCAACCUACCUUAUACUGGGGAAUAACUUCGAGAAAUCGACGCUAAUACCCCAUAACAUUGCGAAGAGGCAUCUCUUUGCAAUUAAAGCUCCGGCGGUAUAAGAUGGGCAUGCGUCCAAUUGGCGAGUUGGUGAGGUAACGGCUAACCAAGGCUACGAUUGGUAGGGGUUCUGAGAGGAGGAUCCCCCACACUGGUACUGAGACCCGGACCAGACUCCUACGGGAGGCAGCAGUGAGGAAUAUUGCGCAAUGGACGAAAGUCUGACGCAGCCAUGCCGCGUGCAGGAUGACGGCCCUAUGGGUUGUAAACUGCUUUUGUACGGGAAUAAACCCUUCUACGUGUAGGAGGCUGAAGGUACCGUAAGAAUAAGCACCGGCUAACUCCGUGCCAGCCGCCGCCGUAA
Molecule: ribosomal RNA, 506 nt
Filed under: uncultured bacterium
Lineage: Bacteria
Description: partial 16S ribosomal RNA
Rfam family: Bacterial small subunit ribosomal RNA
Source: RNAcentral